RNAcentral lists this long non-coding RNA (415 nucleotides) under Helianthus annuus (common sunflower). RNAcentral's name for it is "hypothetical non coding rna". Lineage: Eukaryota; Viridiplantae; Streptophyta; Magnoliopsida; Asterales; Asteraceae. The record is from RNAcentral.
AUGUGUCACACCCCGAAAUUAUCAAAGCAUUGGCGUGACUGGACUGGUAUCUUCAUUGAACAGCGGAAGCAAAAAAAGGAGAGUAAUAUUUGUGUGUAUAUUUGAGUGUAAAGAGUUCUGUGUGUUUGUGAUUUAAUUUGGAGAAGACGGAGGGUGUUUUAUAUAGAGAUUUGGGUGAGAUCUCUAGAAAUCUUGUAUGGAUUUUGUGUUUCAAAUCUUUGAGACAAAAAUCUUUAGAGAUUUUACUAGGAUUUUGGCAAGAUUUGUAAAGAUUUUAUACAGGUUUUGCAAUAUCUAGUAGAGAUCUUAAUAGGUCAAAUAUAUUAAGUGUAGGUUUAGGCUUGUGGGUUUUGGGCUUGGGCCCAGGGCCCACAAGCCCAUCUCAUGUGUAAGUGGCCCGUAAUUCCUACGAGAC